CUGCCUGCCGCCAGGCCCUCCUCUGCCCGCCGCCCUCCUCUGCCCGCCUCCCCUCCUCUGCCCGCCGCCCAGGCGCCCACCUCCAGCCGUCGAGGCCUGUGCCGCCCUCCUCUGGCCGCCGCCCAGGCGUCCACCUCUGGCCACCGCCCUCCUCCAGCCGUCGAGGCCUCUGGUGGUGAGUCCUGUGCCGCCCCUCUGUACGCCCUGACAAGUCUCAGCAACCUGCGCCGCCCUCACAAGUCACAGCAAGCUCUAGGGAUAUGGAAGAUGCAUCUGCAGAUCGACCACAAGGGGAGUCAGGAAGCCAGCAGCCAUAUGAUCCAGCUAAAGAUCCUAAGAGAAAGGCAAAAUCGAAGGAUCCGGCAUGGGACUAUUGUUAUUGGCCAGCAGCCACAUGAUCCAGCCAUGUGGAUGAUGCAAUCGGUGCUUCUAGUUCACUUCAAGGUCGCAACUUCCCAAGAAGAGCCCGAUAUGAGUCUGUUUAUUCAAGGCAUUGUCAAGUUGCUGCUACACAGGAGGAGAGAGUUAUGGAAGAGGAAGAGAAGGCAACGAGGGCAAUGA
RNAcentral lists this unclassified non-coding RNA (561 nucleotides) under Zea mays. RNAcentral describes it as "misc RNA Zm00001eb216340". Lineage: Eukaryota; Viridiplantae; Streptophyta; Magnoliopsida; Poales; Poaceae. The record is from RNAcentral.